AUUCCAGCUCCAAUAGCGUAUAUUAAAGUUGUUGCGGUUAAAAAGCUCGUAGUUGGAUUUCUGCCGAGGAUGACCGGUCCGCCCUGUGGGUGUGCAUCUGGCUCAGCCUUGGCAUCUUCCUGAAGAACGUAGCUGCACUUGACUGUGUGGUGCGGUAUUUAGGACAUUUACUUUGAGGAAAUUAGAGUGUUUCAAGCAAGCGCACGCUUUGAAUACAUUAGCAUGGAAUAAUAAGAUAGGACCUCGGUUCUACUUUGUUGGUUUCUAGAGCUGAGGUAAUGAUUGAUAGGGAUAGUUGGGGGCAUUCGUAUUUAACUGUCAGAGGUGAAAUUCUUGGAUUCGCUCAAGACUAACUUAUGCGAAAGCAUUCACCAAGGAUGUCUUCAUUA
RNAcentral lists this ribosomal RNA (389 nucleotides) under Dinophyceae sp. RNAcentral describes it as "partial small subunit ribosomal RNA". It matches the Rfam family "Eukaryotic small subunit ribosomal RNA", at positions 582 to 975 of the family's 1831-position model. Lineage: Eukaryota; Dinophyceae. The record is from RNAcentral.